This 253-nucleotide ribosomal RNA is filed under the name uncultured bacterium. Its description in RNAcentral is "partial 16S ribosomal RNA". It matches the Rfam family "Bacterial small subunit ribosomal RNA", at positions 524 to 776 of the family's 1533-position model. The record is from RNAcentral.
UACGAAGGGGGCUAGCGUUGCUCGGAAUCACUGGGCGUAAAGCGCACGUAGGCGGAUUGUUAAGUCAGGGGUGAAAUCCUGGAGCUCAACUCCAGAACUGCCCUUGAUACUGGCGAUCUUGAGUCCGGGAGAGGUGAGUGGAACUGCGAGUGUAGAGGUGAAAUUCGUAGAUAUUCGCAAGAACACCAGUGGCGAAGGCGGCUCACUGGCCCGGAACUGACGCUGAGGUGCGAAAGCGUGGGGAGCAAACAGG